AAAAAGGCCCUUUUCAGGGCCACCAAACGUUUUUAAAUUAGGACCA
This is a non-coding RNA of Acyrthosiphon pisum (pea aphid), 46 nucleotides long. The record is from Rfam. NCBI's taxonomy places the organism in Eukaryota, Metazoa, Arthropoda, Insecta, Hemiptera, Aphididae.